RNAcentral lists this ribosomal RNA (253 nucleotides) under uncultured bacterium. RNAcentral describes it as "partial 16S ribosomal RNA". It matches the Rfam family "Bacterial small subunit ribosomal RNA", at positions 524 to 776 of the family's 1533-position model. The record is from RNAcentral.
UACGGAGGGUGCAAGCGUUAUCCGGAUUCACUGGGUUUAAAGGGUGCGUAGGUGGGCUAGUAAGUCCGUGGUGAAAUCUCCAAGCUUAACUUGGAAACUGCCGUGGAUACUAUUAGUCUUGAAUAUUGUGGAGGUAAGCAGAAUAUGACAUGUAGCGGUGAAAUGCUUAGAUAUGACAUAGAACACCGAUAGCGAAGGCAGCUUGCUACACAAUCAUUGACACUGAGGCACGAAAGCGUGGGGAUCAAACAGG